AGGCCCUUCGGGGUACACGAGCGGCGAACGGGUGAGUAACACGUGGUUGAUCUGCCUCGCACUUCGGGAUAAGCCUGGGAAACUGGGUCUAAUACCGGAUAUGACCUUUCAGUGCAUGCUGUUGGGUGGAAAGAUUUAUCGGUGCGAGAUGGGCCCGCGGCCUAUCAGCUUGUUGGCGGGGUAACGGCCCACCAAGGCGACGACGGGUAGCCGACCUGAGAGGGUGACCGGCCACACUGGGACUGAGACACGGCCCAGACUCCUACGGGAGGCAGCAGUGGGGAAUAUUGCACAAUGGGCGGAAGCCUGAUGCAGCGACGCCGCGUGAGGGAUGACGGCCUUCGGGUUGUAAACCUCUUUCGACAGGGACGAAGCGCAAGUGACGGUACCUGUAGAAGAAGCACCGGCCAACUACGUGCCAGCAGCCGCGGUAAUACGUAGGGUGCGAGCGUUGUCCGGAAUUACUGGGCGUAAAGAGCUUGUAGGCGGUUUGUCGCGUCGUCCGUGAAAACUUGGGGC
Molecule: ribosomal RNA, 519 nt
Filed under: Nocardia brasiliensis
Lineage: Bacteria; Bacillati; Actinomycetota; Actinomycetes; Mycobacteriales; Nocardiaceae
Description: bacterial SSU rRNA
Rfam family: Bacterial small subunit ribosomal RNA
Source: RNAcentral